CGCAAGGAUGCCAGAGCCAGUGCUGGGGGCUGACCCCAUCCCCGCCUCCCCCGUCCCCGCCGCCCCCGUCGCAGCCGCCGAGUGGCGGCGUGGCCUCGAUUAUUAGCCAGACCCUGUUCGACCAAAUGCUGCUUCACCGCAACGAUGCUGCUUGCCCCGCAAGGAACUUCUACACUUACAACGCCUUCAUCACCGCGGCGAAUUCUUUCCCCGCGUUCGGAACCACCGGGGACGUCGCCACCCGCAAGAGGGAGAUCGCCGCCUUCUUCGGACAGACCUCUCAUGAAACUACGG
This 294-nucleotide long non-coding RNA is filed under the name Spirodela polyrhiza (greater duckweed). RNAcentral describes it as "long non-coding RNA (SPOL_LNC000347)". The record is from RNAcentral. Lineage: Eukaryota; Viridiplantae; Streptophyta; Magnoliopsida; Alismatales; Araceae.